CCUAUCAGCUUUCGAUGGUAGUGUAUUGGACUACCAUGGCAGUCACGGGUAACGGAGAAUUAGGGUUCGAUUCCCGGAGAGGGGAGCCUGAGAACGGCUACCACAUCUACGGAAGGCAGCAGGCGCGUAAAUUACCCAAUCCUGAUUCAGGGAGGUAGUGACAAGAAAUAACAACUCGGGGGCCUCACGGCUUACGAGAUUGCAAUGAGAACAAUUUAAAUCUCUUAGCGAGGAACAAUUGGAGGGCAAGUCUGGUGCCAGCAGCCGCGGUAAUUCCAGCUCCAAUAGCGUAUAUUAAAGUUGUUGCAGUUAAAAAGCUCGUAGUUGAAUUUUCUGAUUAUGGAUGUAGCGGUUUCCGUUACAUUUGUAGUCAUUCCACAAUGAGAACCUUUCUCGGCCUUCACUGGUCGGUU
Molecule: ribosomal RNA, 413 nt
Filed under: uncultured eukaryote
Lineage: Eukaryota
Description: SSU rRNA
Rfam family: Eukaryotic small subunit ribosomal RNA
Source: RNAcentral